This 84-nucleotide transfer RNA is filed under the name Candidatus Doudnaibacteriota bacterium. Its description in RNAcentral is "Candidatus Doudnabacteria bacterium tRNA-Tyr". It matches the Rfam family "tRNA". From Rfam's summary of the family: Transfer RNA (tRNA) molecules are approximately 80 nucleotides in length. Their secondary structure includes four short double-helical elements and three loops (D, anti-codon, and T loops). Further hydrogen bonds mediate the characteristic L-shaped molecular structure. tRNAs have two regions of fundamental functional importance: the anti-codon, which is responsible for specific mRNA codon recognition, and the 3' end, to which the tRNAs corresponding amino acid is attached (by aminoacyl-tRNA synthetases). tRNAs cope with the degeneracy of the genetic code in two manners: having more than one tRNA (with a specific anti-codon) for a particular amino acid; and 'wobble' base-pairing, i.e. permitting non-standard base-pairing at the 3rd anti-codon position. Lineage: Bacteria; Candidatus Doudnaibacteriota. The record is from RNAcentral.
CCGGAGAUGGCAGAGCGGUCAAUUGCACCUGACUGUAAAUCAGGCACCCUCAGGGUUACGGAGGUUCAAAUCCUUCUCUCCGGA